AGAGUUUGAUCCUGGCUCAGAUUGAACGCUGGCGGAAUGCUUUACACAUGCAAGUCGAACGGCAGCACGGGGGGCUUGCUCCUGGUGGCGAGUGGCGAACGGGUGAGUAAUACAUCGGAACGUACCCUGAAGUGGGGGAUAACGUAGCGAAAGUUACGCUAAUACCGCAUAUUCUGUGAGCAGGAAAGAGGGGGGAUCGCAAGACCUCUUGCUUUAGGAGCGGCCGAUGUCGGAUUAGCUAGUUGGUGGGGUAAAGGCCCACCAAGGCGACGAUCCGUAGCGGGUCUGAGAGGAUGAUCCGCCACACUGGAACUGAGACACGGUCCAGACUCCUACGGGAGGCAGCAGUGGGGAAUUUUGGACAAUGGGCGCAAGCCUGAUCCAGCCAUGCCGCGUGAGUGAAGAAGGCCUUCGGGUUGUAAAGCUCUUUCGGUGGGGAAGAAAUUGCUUGGGUUAAUACCCUGAGUAGAUGACGGUACCCGCAUAAGAAGCACCGGCUAACUACGUG
This 508-nucleotide ribosomal RNA is filed under the name uncultured bacterium. RNAcentral describes it as "bacterial SSU rRNA". It matches the Rfam family "Bacterial small subunit ribosomal RNA", at positions 8 to 507 of the family's 1533-position model. The record is from RNAcentral.